Thamnophis elegans (Western terrestrial garter snake) is the source of this 2387-nucleotide long non-coding RNA. RefSeq lists it as uncharacterized. The transcript is spliced from 3 exons. NCBI's taxonomy places the organism in Eukaryota, Metazoa, Chordata, Lepidosauria, Squamata, Natricidae. The record is from RefSeq and is a predicted model, not a curated record.
GAGGUUCCAAAAUAUUUUGAAACCCACCACUGGUUCAGUGUUACCUAAAGAGGGUUCCUGUUCAAAGCCAAAUAAAUUGUUCCACAUUCUCCCCAGACUAGGGAACAGAGGUGGGUUGCUGCCAGUUCGGCCCGGAUCGGGUGAACUGGUAGUAGUGAUGGCGGGAGGUUCCGCCCAGCCAUCCACCCAGACGCUUCUGUGCAGGACCGUGCCCGAACCGGUAGUAAGAAAAUUGGCAACCCACCACUGCUAGGGAAGACUGAGAAUGUUUCUUUGUAAAGAAAGCCAGGGAUAUUUUAAACUGCACUUGAGGGCCUUUUGGGUGAGCUGAGGAGAUAACAGCUUCUAUUGUCCUACCACAAUCAAAACUUUCCAUCUCUGUUGGUGGUUUCCCAAACUGUAUAAAAUUAAGAAAACGGCAUAGAAAAUACUUAACAUUUUGCAGGAACUUGGAUGGGGAGAACACAGAAGGUUAGUCUGAAUCUUCCCCAGAGGUAGCACAUGCAGAGGCAUAUGUUUUCUUCACACUGUAUCUUUGUACAAUGUCAUUGUUUUUCCCACAUUGCUUUUUGGCCUUGGAAAUAACACAGAUUAUAGUUUAACUGAUUAUUUUGUUUACUGCUCUGGAAGAACGGUACGAAUAACUGAAUAUUGAGGUAUACUUUGGACAGGCCUACCUCCAGAGGUGGGGCAGGGAACAAUUACCUCAUUCCUUUCCCACCUCUUUCCACCAUGCAAACUUCAUGGAAAUCUGCUUCCCUGUUGUUUAUCUCUACAGUCUAAUCAUGAGAUAUUACAUUGCUGUAGCUUAGUAGGUUUUAAUUUCUUAGCACUUGAAGCAGCACAGAGCAACUCUGGUGGGAAGAAAACCCAGAGUGAAAUUCUUUUCAGAGCAGAACACAAUGCCGGACACUUGAAGAUGCCAUCCCUUCAUUAUAUUAUUUCUGGCCACUAUCCUAAAUCAAAGGUCAGCAUAAUUUAAUCCAGAAAUGUUGAUCCCAAGAAUCAGGGAAACAGUGCUGUGACCAGGUAGCAGCAUUUUUUGAUUUGUGUUGUUGUAUCAUAGCAGUUGUGCAGGAUAAGAAUUUUGAUUUGUUUUGGUUAUGUUGUAUGUUUCUAAGAGCAAUCGCCUUUACACAUCAAGGAAAAGCCAAAUGAGGAAUGAGAACAUCAUACUGAUAACAAUAAUUUAAAUACCAAUUAAUGUAUGGAUAUAUUAGUUUUUCUGCAUAGAGCUUCUAUUCUCCGAUACAUUCUUUGGGAACCUCCUAUGAGUUUGGUAGACAUGAAUGACAAGCCAAUAAACUUAUUUGACAGUUGGACUCAAGUCUCAGCCUCCACAGUCUGACUGUGGCUCUCCAACAAGCUUGCAGGCAUCUUGAUGUCCCAAUAAUCCAGUCCCUCCUUUCCCAGCUUGUUUCAGCAAUUGGUAUAAACUGUUCCAAUAUGUGCUCUUUGUUUUAUUCUUUGCUUCUCUGCUAAUAAUCCUUCCUUCCUUACUGGACAGGCUCCAGCAGUGACAGGUGUCUGGACUGAUAAGACAAGGAGAGAGGGAGGGAGGGAGAAAACAAGAAACUGCAAAUCUAAGGAAUCUGAAGGUGGAGGGAAAAAAUCAGCUUGAGUCGCUACAAAUGCAGCCAUGAUGGGGCUAAGACUAGAAAAGAAAAUCUGAGGCUAUGGGGCAGAGCAGCGGAAAUAAGAGAGCCUGGUUUAUGAGUGAGUGGAAUAUAGAUACUGGUGAGGAUGGCUGAAAGGGAAAGAAGCCAUGGGAUUACCAGGAAAGCUAAAAAUUAAAUUGCUUACCACCAUCACAGGGGAUAGAAAUGGUACUGCAGGAAUGGCUUUCAAAUAGCACAGAACUACAAUCCCAGGGAGUCCUAAACAAUAUAAUAAAUUACAAAUGUUGAUGGGAGUUGUAGUUUUGCAAAUAUCUAUAGGCUCACAGGUUUCAGCUAUGCUAGGAUGACAGAAGGGGGUUAGAAAAACAUAUAUUCCUUUUUAUUUUUGCUCUGCCUUCUACUUCAUUUACUCUUUCUCCCCCUUUCAGUUGCUUCAUACCACGGCUUUCCUAAUUUUCAUUCAAUGUUUACAUUCUGGUUGUUUGUUUUUACUUCUAAUGCAUUUCUCCUGCUUGGCCUGGCCUGGUCAUUGCCCCAUUUUACUUAUUCUGUUGCUGCUACUUUUCCUUCCUUCCAACUCCUGUUGCAGCAAGCAUAACAAGAUUAAGGGGAAUAAAGGGACUUGUCUCUGGAAUGGGAUUAGUUCUGGAUAAAGAAGCAAACAUGCAUAAGGCAAAAAACUGUGCUCCUGGAGUGAAAAGUGAAAUAGGAAAAAGCUCUGAAAUAUGACCCAUCCCAAGAAUCCUUCCAUUCCCCACCAUCCCCGGU